This 550-nucleotide ribosomal RNA is filed under the name Gilliamella apicola. Its description in RNAcentral is "bacterial LSU rRNA". It matches the Rfam family "Bacterial large subunit ribosomal RNA", at positions 2383 to 2925 of the family's 2925-position model. The record is from RNAcentral. Lineage: Bacteria; Pseudomonadati; Pseudomonadota; Gammaproteobacteria; Orbales; Orbaceae. RNAcentral also lists the same sequence under 1 other name.
GACGGCUCGAGCAGGUACGAAAGUAGGUCAUAGUGAUCCGGUGGUUCUGAAUGGAAGGGCCAUCGCUCAACGGAUAAAAGGUACUCCGGGGAUAACAGGCUGAUACCGCCCAAGAGUUCAUAUCGACGGCGGUGUUUGGCACCUCGAUGUCGGCUCAUCACAUCCUGGGGCUGAAGUAGGUCCCAAGGGUACGGCUGUUCGCCGUUUAAAGUGGUACGCGAGCUGGGUUUAGAACGUCGUGAGACAGUUCGGUCCCUAUCUGCCAUGGGCGUAGGAAAAUUGAGAGGGUUUGCUUCUAGUACGAGAGGACCGAAGUGAACGCACCGCUGGUGUUCGGGUUGUGAUGCCAAUUGCAUUGCCCGGUAGCUACGUGCGGAAUAGAUAAGUGCUGAAAGCAUCUAAGUACGAAACUAGCCUUGAGAUGAGUUUUCCCUGAAGAGAUUCAGUAAGGUCCGUUUGAGACUAAGACGUAGAUAGGUCAGGUGUGUAAGUGUAGUGAUACAUUGAGCUAACUGAUACUAAUGAACCGAGAGUCUUAACCUUACAACUC